CCUACGGGAGGCAGCAGUGGGGAAUCUUCCGCAAUGGGCGAAAGCCUGACGGAGCGACGCCGCGUGAGCGAGGAAGGCCUUCGGGUCGUAAAGCUCUGUUCUGGGGGAAGGAGGGAGUGACGGUACCCCAGGAGGAAGCCCCGGCUAACUACGUGCCAGCAGCCGCGGUAAU
This 172-nucleotide ribosomal RNA is filed under the name uncultured bacterium. Its description in RNAcentral is "partial 16S ribosomal RNA". It matches the Rfam family "Bacterial small subunit ribosomal RNA", at positions 338 to 524 of the family's 1533-position model. The record is from RNAcentral.